GCCGAUGUGGCGGAAUUGGCAGACGCGCUGUGUUCAGGUCGCAGUGAGUGUACGCUCGUGCGAGUUCGAAUCUCGCCAUCGGCAC
This 85-nucleotide transfer RNA is filed under the name Anaerostipes butyraticus. Its description in RNAcentral is "tRNA-Leu". It matches the Rfam family "tRNA". Rfam says of the family: Transfer RNA (tRNA) molecules are approximately 80 nucleotides in length. The record is from RNAcentral. Lineage: Bacteria; Bacillati; Bacillota; Clostridia; Lachnospirales; Lachnospiraceae.